RNAcentral lists this long non-coding RNA (435 nucleotides) under Erythranthe guttata (spotted monkey flower). RNAcentral's name for it is "long non-coding RNA (EGUT_LNC002042)". The record is from RNAcentral. Lineage: Eukaryota; Viridiplantae; Streptophyta; Magnoliopsida; Lamiales; Phrymaceae.
AUUUGCAAUGCAGAAAUCUGUGGAUCCAAUAGUUCCCGUAGUCCUCAACGAUGAAAUACGUGCAUAGUUGCAAUACGAUUUCCCACAGUGGAGGCAAAGGUAAGCUUGUUCUUAUCCCAAUGAACUUCACAAAAAAACAAAAAAUAAAUAAAUAAAUAACAAACAGAUCUAAAUUGAAUCAAAACCUAAUUUAAUUCAAACGAAUGGAAAUUAUUCCACAUUGAAUCAAAUUUUUUGCACAACAAAAAAAAAAUUAAAACAUGAAAUUCAUCUUUCAAUUCGACGAAUGGAAAAGCAAAUUGACGGAAAUGAGAUUGAAUUGCACCUUGAUUGAGGGGUAGGAGACGAGCUGAAGGGGGCCGACGACGAGGAAGAACAUGCGCAUGACGGAUUUGUAGCAGUGGAGGGUUUCGGAGAAGGAGAGCUUGACUUUGG